GAAAUGCGAUAAGUAAUGUGAAUUGCAGAAUUCAGUGAAUCAUCGAAUCUUUGAACGCACAUUGCGCCCGCCAGUAUUCUGGCGGGCAUGCCUGUUCGAGCGCCAUUUCAACCAUCAAGCCCCCGGCUUGUGUUGGGGACCUGCGGCUGCCCGCAGGCCCUGAAAAACAGUGGCGGGCUCGCUGUCACACCGAGCGUAGUAGCAUACAUUCUCGCUCAGGGCGUGCUGCGGGUUCCGGCCGUUAAACGACCUUCAUAACCCAAGGUUGACCUCGGAUCAGGUAGGAAGACCCGCUGAACUUAAGC
Molecule: unclassified non-coding RNA, 305 nt
Filed under: plant metagenome
Description: partial contains 5.8S ribosomal RNA, internal transcribed spacer 2, and large subunit ribosomal RNA
Rfam family: 5.8S ribosomal RNA (bases 1-105)
Source: RNAcentral